AUUCGGCUGCUAUCAGCCCCUUGCGUAAAGGCCAGGGGAGCGUUUUAUCUGCCGUUGAGCGCAGCAGAUGGGGAAGCAGCCGGCACUCCCUCCUGUCCCGCUCCUUUUCCAGCACCCCUGCCCCGUGGCCCUCGCGUGACCUCCCCCCCUCUGAAAACCGCCGCUUUCCUGCAGAGCGGUGCAGGGCAGAGCUUGCUGCGCCCAGGAAAGCUGCCGGCCCCGCUGGAGGAGGCAGACGUUGCCCCUGCCGGAGCGCAGCCCCGGGACCCCAGGCUCCCGAGCUCCUCCUGGGCCUGUGCCGCAUCCUCCAGCAGUGACCCCGCCAGGCGUGCAGGCCGCGGAGAGCCGGGUCCCCGGGCGUUCGGGUGGAAUCCUCCCAGCUUCUCUCAAAUCAGAGCGGCAGAGCCAGGAGAGGGGACCGGGGCACAGAGGCUCGUGGGGACGGGCGGCCCUUGCACGAGGCCGCUCCUCGCACGUUUAGGUCUCGCGUUGCGCAGGGAGGCAGCAGCAUCUGGGGGCCGGUGCAGAGGUCGGCGCGGGGGUCCCGCCGCCCUGCGGGGGGUGAAGCGUGCCCCUCAGCGCUGGGCUCAGCCGCAGAGCCCCGGCCGGGACCGCUUUCACACCCCAGGCAGCCAAGAAACGGCUGCAGGGGCCUGCAGAGGCCCAGCGGGCGGCUGGCAGCAGGGGACGGCGGCCGGGGGCGCUCGGGGUGGCCGCUGCCCACCGGGACCCGGGGCCGCCUGCGGCCUGGGAAACCGCCCCGGGGCCGUGCCCCACGGCCGCUCGGUGCCUGCCGGGCCGAGGCCGGGCCGCGGGGGGUCCCCACCGGGGCCGCCCCCNNNNNNNNNNNNNNNNNNNNNNNNNGGCCGCGCCCCAGCCGCUGGGCCCCGGGGGAACGGGGACGAGCGGGGCCGCCGAGGCGGGGGCCGGCGUCGUGCGGCAGCCGGGGAGGGCAGGGCGGCUGCGGGAGAACAAAGAUGCGGGGAGGGGACGGUGAGGGCAGCCCGAGGCCCGCCGCCAUCUCCCCCAGCCCCGGGGCACCUGGCGCGGGGCUCUCCCCUCCUCUGGCUGCCGAGGGGGGCUCCGGUGCCGGGGGUGCGAGGGGACCCUAACCCCAACGCGGCCCCCUGCCCCGAGCGGGGCCCCGGCCCCAGCAGGGGGCUCGGCCAGGGGCAGCGAGGAGAAGUGGGGGGGGCACGGGGCGAAGGGCGCGGGAGGCUGGCGCGGGACGUGGGGCCGAAGGGGCCUGUGAAGUGUGAGCGGGGGGCACGGGAGGAAAGGGGGGGCCGAGGAGAGGAGGGAGACAAAGGGCUGCGGGGAGGAAGGAGGCAGGUGGGAAGCGAGGGGGAGAAACGGACAAGAGGGGUUGGAGAGCACCGAAGGUGGUUGGGAAGGUGGGAGAAAGGGGAGCAAAAGCUGUAG
RNAcentral lists this long non-coding RNA (1422 nucleotides) under Anser cygnoides (Swan goose). RNAcentral's name for it is "lncRNA (ENSACDG00005017102.1)". Lineage: Eukaryota; Metazoa; Chordata; Aves; Anseriformes; Anatidae. The record is from RNAcentral.